RNAcentral lists this long non-coding RNA (2804 nucleotides) under Homo sapiens (human). RNAcentral's name for it is "HSALNT0348869". The record is from RNAcentral. Lineage: Eukaryota; Metazoa; Chordata; Mammalia; Primates; Hominidae.
AGUUCCUACACAGCAAAGCGUGUAGUUGUGUUGCUGAUUUUCCUGUGAAUGAAGCCACAUGAUGGUUUACAAUAAUGGAUACUCAAAAGAGGAAAUUGGCCAACAAAGAUGAAAGCGCAGAAAAAAGUCCAAAAAGUAGUAAUGCUAGAAAUGAACUCCAAAUUGAAUGAGUUACAGAAAAACAGUUCACUGUGAGAAUGUGGCCACUGCAUCAUUCAAGAGGAUAUGCAGCCAGAGGAACUUAGCAAAGGCAAACUUAACAUAAAUGAGGAAGGAAGUGUGGCAAAAAGCAUGCUGUCUCAGAGGAAGCGGUCCUGGCAGAAACUUCACAUUGAAGCAACUCUGGGAAAUUUUUCAUGACGCUGAAAACACAAAGGAUAAAAUGUUGGGAGCUGAUCCAGUCUUAGAAAGGAGAACAAUUCAUCACGUCAGAGAAAAGAUGCUCUCUCCAUGUCGUAAGUUACACAAGAAGAAGCUCUGAGGAGUGAAUCCACAAUACAGUUCAAAGAGAGAUUUAAAUUGCUAAUUUCCCGGCACUGGAAUGUGGGGAAAGAUUGUCACAGAUUUAGCAUGAAAGCCAUGUAUUUAACAUUCCUAUGUAAUAACCCUCUCUUAAAUUGCAUUUUGGUUUGAGAAACAGCAAGAACAAAUUCAGCAUUAGGGGGAAACUUUGCUGUUGAUCUCAAAGGGAAUGAGAAUUUAGGGAGCACCUCUGCCCACCAGGAAGGAGCUUUCUCUUGAGUCUCCCACAUGACUGUGUACUAUGGAUCACAUUGGAAGAACUUCUCUUUUUCCUAAUGCUGUCUGAGUUUUGCAUUUUGGUGCCAGAACAGGGAAGUGAAGGGAUACAUAAGAGACACACAUAAUAGAAAUGUAAAAGACAAGCAAUACCACCAGACGAUAGAUGUAAUUUGGAACAAAGAUAUUUUUAUUUGCCUAAGGCUCAGAAAGUCGUGCCAGGCAAUGCUGGAAGGAAUUGGUUGGCUUCCUCUCCCAAACCACUUCCUCAGUGCUCAUCCUCUUUCAGGUGGACAAGAUAUGGCAUUUUGACUGCUAGCAAAUGUCACUGUGACAUUUCAAUGGCACAAUUGGUGACAAUUCAGCCAAUUUUUGUUGGGCACCCUCCACAUGCCCCAGGGUCUGGGCUCAGCCCUUUACGUACGUGGGCUCAUUGAUUCUUCCAUGUUUUCUAGAAUGUGAUUUUACCCUGGCUGGCACAGAGUAAAUGCCCAAAGAAUGGUAGCUAUUGUUUUUAAUCAUCAUUAUUAAUUUUAUAAAUAACUUCCAUAUCAGGUGAUGGGAAAAUUUCAGACUUUGAUUUGGGCCUUGGAAAACAGGUUCAGUUUCAGUAGAUGGAGGUAAAAGGAGGCAAAGAGCGACCUUACGUAAAUCCAAGGCUGAAGGAAGGAGGCUCUAAGGGGUGUGUGGGUGAUUAGGAGUAAAGUAUCUUGUCUGAAAUGAAGAGUUUCUAUACAGCAUGCUUAUUUGGAGUCAUGCCUAACAAGAUUACUUUGGGUCUAAUUUUGGAAGCUUGGUACUCCAGGGAGCUUGGACAUGAAUUUAAAGACAAUGGGAACUCACAUUUAAGUUUCUGAAACAGCCAGGCGUGGUGGCUCAUGCCUGUAAUCCCAGCACUUCGGGAGGCUGAGGCAGGUGGAUCACCUGAGAUCAGGAGUUUGAGACCAGUCUAACCAACAUGGAGAAACCCCAUCUCUACUUAAAAGAAAAAAAAAAUACAAAAUUAGCCGGGUAUGGUGGUGCAUGCCUGCAAGGGAGGAGACCACCCCUUAUAUUGUCUUAUGCCCAAUUUCUGCCUCCAAAGAAAGAAGAAGUAAAAACUAAAAGUCAGAAAUGGAAUUCACAAGCAGACAGCCUGGCGCCACACUCUGGGUCUGGUAGUUAAAGAUCAACCCCUGACCUAAUUGGUUAUUUGCAUAAGAAAAAGCACUGUGAAGAUCCCUGUCCUGUUCUGUUCCAUUCUAAUUACCGGUACAUGCAGCCCCCAGUCAUGUACCCCCUGCUUGCUCAAUCGAUCACGACCCUCUCACGUGGACCCCGUUAGAGUUGUGAGCCCUUAAAAGGGACAGGAAUUGCUUAUUCAGGGAGCUCGGUUGUUGGAGACAUGAGUCUUGCCGAAGCUCCUGGCCAAAUAAAGCCCUUCCUUCUUUAACUCGGUGUCUGAGGGGUUUUGUCAGUAGCUUGUCCUGCUACACCUGUAAUCCCAGCUACUCGGGAGGCUGAGGUGGGAGAAUUGCUUGAACCCAGGAGGCAGAGGUUACAGUGAGCCGAGAUUAUGCCAUUGCACUCCAGUCUGGGUAACAAGAGCAAAACUCCAUCUCGAAGAAAAAAAAGUUUCUGAAUGGGGAGCUGUUCUGGAGUAUGCAGGAAGGAUUGGGGUGGGAGGAGAACAAGAAGAGGAAUACGUUUUAGCGAUAUUGCAGUUAUUUCAGGUUAAAAGUGAUAGAGUCAGGGGCUGAACCAGGAUAUCGGCCAUAGAAGCAGAAAGGAAGGGGUAUGUGUGAAAGAAAUUAAGAAAGAAGAUGUCAGGCCUCUGAGCCCAAGCUAAGCCAUCAUAUCCCCUGUGACCUGCACGUAUACAUCCAGAUGGCCUGAAGCAACUGAAGAAUCACAAAAGAAGUGAAAAUGGCUGAUUCCUGCCUUAACUGAUGACAUUACCUUGUGAAAUUCCUUCUCCUGGCUCAGAAGCUCCCCUACUGAGCACCUUGUGACACCCCACCCCUGCCUGCCAGAGAACAACCCCCUUUGACUGUAAUUUUCCACUACUUACCCAAAUCCUAUAAAAU